RNAcentral lists this unclassified non-coding RNA (503 nucleotides) under uncultured Glomus. RNAcentral's name for it is "SSU rRNA". It matches the Rfam family "Eukaryotic small subunit ribosomal RNA", at positions 569 to 1078 of the family's 1831-position model. Lineage: Eukaryota; Fungi; Glomeromycota; Glomeromycetes; Glomerales; Glomeraceae. The record is from RNAcentral.
AGCAGCCGCGGUAAUUCCAGCUCCAAUAGCGUAUAUUAAAGUUGUUGCAGUUAAAAAGCUCGUAGUUGAAUUUCGGGGUCAGUAGGCUGGUCAUGCCACUGGUAUGUACUGGUUUCACUGAUUCCUCCUUCCUGAUGAACCGUAAUGCCAUUAAUUUGGUGUUGCGGGGAGUCUGGACUGUUACUUUGAAAAAUUAGAGUGUUUAAAGCAGGCUAACGCUUGAAUACAUUAGCAUGGAAUAAUGAAAUAGGACGAUCGAUCCUAUUUUGUUGGUUUCUAGGAUCGACGUAAUGAUUAAUAGGGAUAGUUGGGGGCAUUAGUAUUCAAUUGUCAGAGGUGAAAUUCUUGGAUUUAUUGAGGACUAACUACUGCGAAAGCAUUUGCCAAGGAUGUUUUCAUUAAUCAAGAACGAAAGUUAGGGGAUCGAAGACGAUCAGAUACCGUCGUAGUCUUAACCAUAAACUAUGCCGACUAGGGAUCGGAUGAUGUUAAUUUUUAAUGUA